CUGAAAUAGCUCUAAUGUCGAUGUAGA
Molecule: unclassified non-coding RNA, 27 nt
Filed under: Dictyostelium discoideum
Lineage: Eukaryota; Evosea; Eumycetozoa; Dictyosteliales; Dictyosteliaceae
Source: RNAcentral